UAGGGUUUGAUCAUGGCUCAGGACGAACGCUGGCGGCGUGCUUAACACAUGCAAGUCGAGCGAUGAAGCACCUUCGGGUGUGAAUUAGCGGCGAACGGGUGAGGAACACGUGAGAAAUCUGCCUUCAACACUGGGAUAACUCCGGGAAACCGGGGCUAAUACCGGAUAUGAAACCUGCGGGCAUCCGCGGGUUUGGAAAGUUUUUCGGUUGAAGAUGAUCUCGCGGCCUAUCAGCUUGUUGGUGAGGUAAUGGCUCACCAAGGCGACGACGGGUAGCCGGCCUGAGAGGGCGACCGGCCACACUGGGACUGAGACACGGCCCAGACUCCUACGGGAGGCAGCAGUGGGGAAUAUUGGGCAAUGGAGGAAACUCUGACCCAGCGACGCCGCGUGCGGGAUGAAGGCCUUCGGGUUGUAAACCGCUUUCAGCAGGGAAGAAGCGAAAGUGACGGUACCUGCAGAAGAAGCACCGGCUAACUAUGUGCCAGCAGCCGCGGUAAUUC
RNAcentral lists this ribosomal RNA (503 nucleotides) under uncultured Nostocoides sp. Its description in RNAcentral is "bacterial SSU rRNA". It matches the Rfam family "Bacterial small subunit ribosomal RNA", at positions 1 to 526 of the family's 1533-position model. The record is from RNAcentral. Lineage: Bacteria; Bacillati; Actinomycetota; Actinomycetes; Micrococcales; Intrasporangiaceae.